RNAcentral lists this ribosomal RNA (253 nucleotides) under uncultured bacterium. Its description in RNAcentral is "partial 16S ribosomal RNA". It matches the Rfam family "Bacterial small subunit ribosomal RNA", at positions 524 to 776 of the family's 1533-position model. The record is from RNAcentral.
UACAGAGGGUGCGAGCGUUAAUCGGAAUUACUGGGCGUAAAGCGCACGUAGUCGGCUUUGCAAGUCGGGUGUGAAAUCCCCGGGCUCAACCUGGGAACUGCAUCCGAGACUGCAUUGCUAGAGUAUGGGAGAGGGAAGCGGAAUUUCUGGUGUAGCAGUGAAAUGCGUAGAUAUCUGGAGGAACACCGGUGGCGAAGGCGGCAUCCUGGACCGGCAUUGACGCUGAGGAGCGAAAGCCAGGGGAGCAAACGGG